RNAcentral lists this transfer RNA (63 nucleotides) under Alasmidonta varicosa. Its description in RNAcentral is "tRNA-Arg". The record is from RNAcentral. Lineage: Eukaryota; Metazoa; Mollusca; Bivalvia; Unionida; Unionidae.
AAGCAAGAAACUUAUUGUACUGUGGUUUCGACCCAUAGCCAGGUGACUUUACACCCUUGCUUU